UCAAAUUAUUAGUAUCUGAUUUUAUAAUAUUACAAUAAUUCAUUAGCUGUUGUGACAGUCUUAAUAAUAUUCAAAUACAGUCUAAUAUUGUAUUUUCUUCCUCAGUAAAUGGUGAUCGUACAGUUGGAGAUCUGAGAGUCAUCGUCUUUUCCACUGAAGGCCUCUUUGCUUUAUCUCUGCUGAGUUUACAAGUAUUUAAACCCUUAUUCCCAUUCACAGGGAUAAGAACAUGUCUGCAGUCAAGUCAGAAUGCAGCAGGAUCUGAUGAAACUCCAGCCAAUGAAUCAAACCAGAGGCAGAACACAGCAGAAUCACGUGAAAUGAAUCCUUUACUGAAUCAAGAUCAGGAUGCUGGUAGGACAGAGGAAACUCAGCCUGAUUCAGUGGAAUCACAAACAUGAGAAACAAUGAGAAAAACAGACUCUUUAUCACACUGACAGUGAUUUAAGAUAAAAGUUCAGUUGUACUUUUAAUUUCAAUUUUUAAAAAAAUGUUUCUUGGUUUUCA
Molecule: long non-coding RNA, 507 nt
Organism: Labeo rohita (rohu)
Lineage: Eukaryota; Metazoa; Chordata; Actinopteri; Cypriniformes; Cyprinidae
Exons: 3
Source: RefSeq, a predicted model, not a curated record